CAAUAGCGUAUAUUAAAGUUGUUGCAGUUAAAAAGCUCGUAGUUGGAUUUGUGGCGUACGGUGUGUUCCGGGCACUUGUUGCCUGAGUAACCUGCUGUUGCCAUCCUUGGGUGGAACCUGUGUGGCAUUAGGUUGUCGUGCAGGGGAUGCCCAUCAUUUACUGUGAAAAAAUUAGAGUGUUCAAAGCAGGCUUAUGCCGUUGAAUAUAUUAGCAUGGAAUAAUGAGAUAGGACUUUUUUGCUAUUUUGUUGGUUUGCGCAAAGAGGUAAUGAUUAAUAGGGACAGUUGGGGGUAUUCGUAUUCCAUUGUCGGAGGUGAAAUUCUUGGAUUUUUGGAAGACGAACUACUGCGAAAGCAUUUACCAAGGAUGUUUUCAUUAA
This 380-nucleotide ribosomal RNA is filed under the name uncultured eukaryote. RNAcentral describes it as "partial 18S ribosomal RNA". It matches the Rfam family "Eukaryotic small subunit ribosomal RNA", at positions 592 to 976 of the family's 1831-position model. The record is from RNAcentral.